AUCUACGACCAUGCCACCCUGAACGUGCCCGAUCUUGUCUGAUCUCGGAAGCUAAGCAGGGCUGGGCCUGGUUAGUACUUGGACGGGAGACCCCCUAGGAAUAUCAGGUGCUGCAGGCA
Molecule: ribosomal RNA, 119 nt
Filed under: Pteropus alecto (black flying fox)
Lineage: Eukaryota; Metazoa; Chordata; Mammalia; Chiroptera; Pteropodidae
Source: RNAcentral